This is a long non-coding RNA of Dioscorea cayenensis subsp. rotundata (Guinea yam), 1131 nucleotides long. RefSeq lists it as uncharacterized. The transcript is spliced from 5 exons. The record is from RefSeq and is a predicted model, not a curated record. NCBI's taxonomy places the organism in Eukaryota, Viridiplantae, Streptophyta, Magnoliopsida, Dioscoreales, Dioscoreaceae.
UGCCAGCACAAAGCUUGAAAACAGACCCAAAAAUUUUGAAAGUUAAAAAAUGAGGAGGGAGUUGGAAAAUGGAAUAGCAGAGGCAAAGAGGUAGGUGAGAGGACAUUGUAAGUAAUUCCUCUCUUUCUCUCUCUCUUUGUCAUUUGAUACCCCAAAAAGAGUUUCACAUGCACCAAUCAAAAUCGGAAUCAAGCGCGAACGAAGGUCUUCGGAAAACUCCGUCACGGCCGGACAAUCAAAAUCUAGGACGACCAUGAGUGAUGAUGGAGAGAGGACGUGCCCCCUCUGUGCGGAGGAGAUGGACCUCACUGACCAACAACUGAAACCUUGCAAAUGUGGAUAUGAGUUCUCAAUUCGACGGUGUUGUGCUCGAUGAGGAUAGUGGGGGUGUGCGGGAGCCAGUACAGCAGUGCUUGUGGGAUUGUCAGGUGUUGGUUUUCAGGGAAGCACGCCUACUUGGAGGGGAUUCCGACGAGUUGGGGAGCACACACGGCGUUGCUGGAGGAGUUGUAGGAGGAGUUUGGGUUUUUGAGGGUGAAGAGGGUGAUGGUGGUUUGUAGGGUGGUGGCGGGGAGGGUGGCGCAUGGCGCACUGCAGUGGUUUGACUGUGUAUUGUAUUUUAUAUAUCAAUUGCUUUAACUUUUGUUUGCAGAUGUCUCAACCACAACUAUAGUAGGACCUGACCUAGUUAUAGACUUUCUCAAAUUGAUUGGUCAAAAAUUGAUAGGCAAAACGGAUACUGAAGAAUUUAAGGAUAAAAGCUCCUUCUUCAAACACAGAGUAUAGGAUUGUUGGUUUGAGUGAACUGCCCUGCAAUCAUCAAUUGUGAUGAGACAUCCAGAGACUGGGACAAAGCAUGGUCAAGUUUCAGAAAUAAAGGGAAGAAAUCAGCAAUGAGAAAAAUUACCUCCCUCUAAUGCUUGUUUGAGUUUUAUUUUUCCACAUGAUUACUAGGAUGUUCUGAUCAAUGCCUACAUAGAUUGUUCUUUUAUGGAUUAGAGUGUUUAUGUUCGUUUGGCAGUUGACUUUGGAUGCUUAUGAGCUUUUCUAUAAAAGUGUAUGGUUUUGUGUUCUGGUUCAUCACCAGUCUUUUUGUAACUCUUUGGUAAAUUGACCAGACUUUUUGAUCUA